RNAcentral lists this non-coding RNA (30 nucleotides) under Homo sapiens (human). The record is from RNAcentral. Lineage: Eukaryota; Metazoa; Chordata; Mammalia; Primates; Hominidae.
UCGGGGUCAUUGAUUUAGAGCAAUAAUAGU